CUCUUCCCGAUCUCCUCCUCCCCGAGCCCGGCGCACCGAGCCGGCCGUGCCACCGAGCUGCGGCUCUGGCCCCGGCGCCGCGGGUGCGCUGCGGAUGGGCUUGGGGCGCACCCAGCGAGCAGCGAGAGUCGCGGUGUCCCGGGCGCUCGCUGGCACCGUGGCCGCAGCGGCCGGCCUGGGAGCCAGGAGGGCGAGGCGGCUGCACCUUCGGGGCCAGAUUGGAGUUCGAAGAGUGGCGGGUACCCCAGAAGCUCGGGGCCGGGGCGAUGGCUGCAGCCUCGGGAGGGUAUCGCCGGAUCGAACUCCGGGAAAGGGAAGCAAAGGCAUGGAACCUCCGCACACUGGAUGAGAAUCCAUCUUCCAUUCGAGCUGGGAAUAGACUUUGUGAAAGAUAUUAUGUAAUGGAGUCUCGGGAACCCUGAGACCUCUCCAGCGAAGCUGAAGUGAAUUAAUUAAGUGCUUUAAACGGUCUUGGUGCUGUGUUACGGGAGAGAGUGACUGGAAAGUAACAAAGCUGAAUCUUUCUCCCUGGAGUAAGGCCGAAGACUGGAUUACUACACGCCUAGACGUGACACUACACCCAUAGAUCUCAUGCAUCAUUAAUGCCAUAUGACAUUGCCAUUUUCUUUCUCAGUUCACGGACAAAAGUGGUGGGUUUUCAUUGUCUUCACUGAUUGUCAAUGCAUUAAUAAAGAAGAUGUGUGGUACAUAGUCUUUGUGAUAAAUCAGGUAAAGAAGCAACGGAAGUGAUGCAAAAUGCACGGUGUGGAGAUGGUUUCUCUUCAGUGGUUGUCAGAAAAGGUUUUCGUAAUGAUGGCUCUGUCAUUGAUGGGAUAUGAAGUAGUAAUCCGCUCCGUAGUGACCUACCAUUCACAAGAUGGGUACCAGGUGAAUAACAUUAAUUAAUUGACAAAAAGUGACUGUGGUCAAUGGGGGAAAAAAUCGAUCCCGUGGCAGGUGUGACGUGGGAAUGGCUGGCCCACCCUCUGAUCCAAGAUGGUCUGGCUGCAGGAAGGUGGCAGCCAAGUGGAUUCUGAAAAUCGUGACUAAUGAACCGAAAGUUAAUAGCUGGCAGUGCAAGGAAAGAGGAAACAAAGCUACCUUUGAAAUGUUAUGUUUGUGGAACAAAUUCAUACUUACGAUAAAUAUUUUAGUUU
This 1157-nucleotide long non-coding RNA is filed under the name Homo sapiens (human). Its description in RNAcentral is "non-protein coding lnc-FEZ2-7:5". Lineage: Eukaryota; Metazoa; Chordata; Mammalia; Primates; Hominidae. The record is from RNAcentral.